GAUGAACGCUGGCGGCGUGCCUAAUACAUGCGAGUCGAGCGAACGGACGAGAAGCUUGCUUCUCUGAUGUUAGCGGCGGACGGGUGAGUAACACGUGGAUAACCUACCUAUAAGACUGGGAUAACUUCGGGAAACCGGAGCUAAUACCGGAUAAUAUUUUGAACCGCAUGGUUCAAAAGUGAAAGACGGUCUUGCUGUCACUUAUAGAUGGAUCCGCGCUGCAUUAGCUAGUUGGUAAGGUAACGGCUUACCAAGGCAACGAUGCAUAGCCGACCUGAGAGGGUGAUCGGCCACACUGGAACUGGGACACGGUCCAGACUCCUACGGGAGGCAGCAGUAGGGAAUCUUCCGCAAUGGGCGAAAGCCUGACGGAGCAACGCCGCGUGAGUGAUGAAGGUCUUCGGAUCGUAAAACUCUGUUAUUAGGGAAGAACAUAUGUGUAAGUAACUGUGCACAUCUUGACGGUACCUAAUCAGAAAGCCACGGCUAACUACGUG
This 497-nucleotide ribosomal RNA is filed under the name uncultured bacterium. RNAcentral's name for it is "partial 16S ribosomal RNA". It matches the Rfam family "Bacterial small subunit ribosomal RNA", at positions 28 to 507 of the family's 1533-position model. The record is from RNAcentral.